GGUUCUGUAGCUCAGUCGGUAGAGCAGGGGACUGAAAAUCCCCGUGUCGCUGGUUCGAUUCCAGCCGGGACCA
This 73-nucleotide transfer RNA is filed under the name Siphoviridae sp. ctHdl3. Its description in RNAcentral is "tRNA-Phe". It matches the Rfam family "tRNA". Rfam says of the family: Transfer RNA (tRNA) molecules are approximately 80 nucleotides in length. Their secondary structure includes four short double-helical elements and three loops (D, anti-codon, and T loops). The record is from RNAcentral. RNAcentral also lists the same sequence under 1 other name. Lineage: Duplodnaviria; Heunggongvirae; Uroviricota; Caudoviricetes.